This 78-nucleotide transfer RNA is filed under the name Synergistota bacterium. RNAcentral describes it as "tRNA-Pro". It matches the Rfam family "tRNA". From Rfam's summary of the family: Transfer RNA (tRNA) molecules are approximately 80 nucleotides in length. Their secondary structure includes four short double-helical elements and three loops (D, anti-codon, and T loops). Lineage: Bacteria; Thermotogati; Synergistota. RNAcentral also lists the same sequence under 2 other names. The record is from RNAcentral.
CGGGACGUAGCGCAGUCUGGUUAGCGCACUUGACUGGGGGUCAAGGGGUCGGAGGUUCAAAUCCUCUCGUCCCGACCA